Molecule: long non-coding RNA, 340 nt
Organism: Mya arenaria
Lineage: Eukaryota; Metazoa; Mollusca; Bivalvia; Myida; Myidae
Exons: 2
Source: RefSeq, a predicted model, not a curated record
UUGUCUAUUUCUGUAUUUCCGUCUUUGUUUGUGAUGUCGGACCGGGUUUUGUCUUUGAUAUUUUUGCGGGCUGUUUUGAACGUCAUUUAACCUUAAUUUAUAAUAAACCUCACGAUUUCAUCUCUACAAGUCACUUUAACAACUGCAUGGUUUGUUACAGCUCAUAUUUCACCAGGUCCUCCAGUCCCGGUUUGAGAGCGAAAGCCAGAGUUUGAUUGGGGUAACGUGUCUAAAGUACCAGAUACUUUGACGUUUCACUGUUACUGCCAUUCCAGUGGUUACACGGGUUGGACAUGUUUUGAUGUGUAAAUGACAAAAUAAAAUAUCGAACGAAACUUUA